Molecule: non-coding RNA, 101 nt
Organism: Obba rivulosa
Lineage: Eukaryota; Fungi; Basidiomycota; Agaricomycetes; Polyporales; Gelatoporiaceae
Source: the annotation of a GenBank genome assembly
GCUUGGAUGGCUCAGUUGGUUAGAGCGCAGGUCUCAUACGGCUGUAUGACCGCACGAUGCGGGUAAUCCUGAGGUCGAGGGUUCGACCCCCUCUCCGAGCA